Long non-coding RNA from Rosa rugosa (rugosa rose), 486 nucleotides. RefSeq lists it as uncharacterized. Lineage: Eukaryota; Viridiplantae; Streptophyta; Magnoliopsida; Rosales; Rosaceae. The transcript has 2 exons. The record is from RefSeq and is a predicted model, not a curated record.
UAAAGAAAACAGAAAAACUGUAAAUGGAUCAGUUUUGUACUUUCACCUGGACUGGGCCCAUGUUUCUCAUACUGCAUCUCAAGGCCCAAAUCGCAACUAGGGUUUUGUGCUUAUAAACACUAGCUAGCCAUCGCUGCCUCUCUUCACAUAGCUCACCUCCCAUAUCUCAUCUUCUCGCUCUCACCGAAGUUCACCCCAGAAGGAGCACAAGCUUUCCGUCUCAACCGUCACCAUGAGGGCCAAGUGGAAGAAGAAGAGAAUGAGGAGGUUGAAGAGGAAGCGCCGAAAGAUGAGGCAGAGAUCUAAGUGAUUGCAGUAGCAGCAGCAGCACCUGUUUCACAUGGCGUUUCUGAGCCUAGGCUUUUGAGUUUUAUCAGGCUUAGUUGUUUGUUAGGGUUAAAAGCGACUCUCAUUUGGUACUUUUAUUUCAAGCUUUCUGUUACAUUCUCUAAAUUUUUAAUUGAAAAUUCGGCUUUUAUGAGUAAA